RNAcentral lists this ribosomal RNA (865 nucleotides) under uncultured compost bacterium. Its description in RNAcentral is "bacterial SSU rRNA". It matches the Rfam family "Bacterial small subunit ribosomal RNA", at positions 28 to 897 of the family's 1533-position model. The record is from RNAcentral.
GACGAACGCUGGCGGCGUGCUUAACACAUGCAAGUCAAGCGAGGUCCUACCGGUGGCAACACCGGGAACGACCUAGCGGCGAACGGGUGAGUAACACGUGAGGAACCUGCCCCGAAGACCGGGAUAACCCUCCGAAAGGGGGGCUAAUACCGGAUACCCUCCUCCGGUCGCAUGGCUGGACGAGGAAAGGGCUUCACCGCUUCGGGAGGGCCUCGCGGCCUAUCAGCUUGUUGGUGAGGUAACGGCUCACCAAGGCGACGACGGGUAGCUGGUCUGAGAGGACGAUCAGCCACACUGGGACUGAGACACGGCCCAGACUCCUACGGGAGGCAGCAGUGGGGAAUCUUGCGCAAUGGGCGAAAGCCUGACGCAGCAACGCCGCGUGCGGGAUGAAGGCCUUCGGGUUGUAAACCGCUUUCAGUGGGGACGAAUCCAGACGGUACCCACAGAAGAAGCCCCGGCCAACUACGUGCCAGCAGCCGCGGUAACACGUAGGGGGCGAGCGUUGUCCGGAUUCAUUGGGCGUAAAGAGCUCGUAGGCGGCUCAGCAAGUCGGGUGUGAAAACUCCAGGCUCAACCUGGAGACGCCACUCGAUACUGCUGUGGCUAGAGUCCAGUAGGGGAGCGUGGAAUUCCCGGUGUAGCGGUGAAAUGCGCAGAUAUCGGGAGGAACACCAGCGGCGAAGGCGGCGCUCUGGGCUGGAACUGACGCUGAGGAGCGAAAGCGUGGGGAUCAAACAGGAUUAGAUACCCUGGUAGUCCACGCCGUAAACGUUGGGCACUAGGUGUGGGGACUUUCCAACGGUCUCCGUGCCGAAGCUAACGCAUUAAGUGCCCCGCCUGGGGAGUACGGCCGCAAGGCUAA